AUACGGAGGAUGCGAGCGUUAUCCGGAUUUAUUGGGUUUAAAGGGUGCGCAGGCGGGCGAUUAAGUCAGCGGUGAAAGGCUCGGGCUCAACCGGAGCAGUGCCGUUGAUACUGGUUGUCUUGAAUGCGGUCAAGGCCGGCGGAAUGUGGCGUGUAGCGGUGAAAUGCAUAGAUAUGCCACAGAACACCGAUAGCGAAGGCAGCUGGCCGGGCCUGCAUUGACGCUCAGGCACGAAAGCGUGGGGAUCGAACAGGAUUAGAUACCCUGGUAGUCCACGCUGUAAACGAUGGACACUCGUUGUCGGCGACAGACAGUCGGCGGCCAAGCGAAAGUGAUAAGUGUCCCACCUGGGGAGUACGGUCGCAAGACUGAAACUCAAAUGAAUUGGCGGGG
This 393-nucleotide ribosomal RNA is filed under the name uncultured bacterium. RNAcentral's name for it is "partial 16S ribosomal RNA". It matches the Rfam family "Bacterial small subunit ribosomal RNA", at positions 523 to 918 of the family's 1533-position model. The record is from RNAcentral.